UACGUAGGGUGCAAGCGUUGUCCGGAAUUAUUGGGCGUAAAGAGCUCGUAGGCGGUUUGUCGCGUCGAAUGUGAAAACCCGGGGCUCAACCCCGGGCCUGCAUUCGAUACGGGCAUCACUGGAGUUCGGCAGGGGAGACUGGAAUUCCUGGUGUAGCGGUGAAAUGCGCAGAUAUCUGGAGGAACACCGGUGGCGAAGGCGGCUUCCUGGACCGACACUGACGCCGAGGCGCGAAAGCUAGGGGAGCAAACGGG
RNAcentral lists this ribosomal RNA (254 nucleotides) under uncultured bacterium. RNAcentral's name for it is "partial 16S ribosomal RNA". It matches the Rfam family "Bacterial small subunit ribosomal RNA", at positions 524 to 776 of the family's 1533-position model. The record is from RNAcentral.